Molecule: long non-coding RNA, 2093 nt
Organism: Varanus komodoensis (Komodo dragon)
Lineage: Eukaryota; Metazoa; Chordata; Lepidosauria; Squamata; Varanidae
Exons: 3
Source: RefSeq, a predicted model, not a curated record
UCACCCCGUUGGCUCCAUGGCCGAGCAGGGACUCGAACCCGGAUUGCCUGAGUCCCAGUCCCACGCUCUUCACCACCACACCACACUGGCUCUCAAAUCUUGUGCUGGAAAGUCCUUUAUUCUUCAAAGACACACAUAUUCAUUCGAAUUACCUUCUUUGGAAUUACUCCUUGUCUCUUGGAAUUUAUCGCAAGAUUGAUGUAAAUAGAUUUUCCUCACCCUUUUUGCACCUGAAGAAUGCAUAUGAAAUAGUGGAAAGAUAGAGAGAUAAACUGCCUUAACACAAUGGGCCUCACUCCGUUUCCAUGUUUCAUUUUCAUAGAACUGUAGAGUUGGGAGGGCCCUUAGAGAUCAUCUGAUACAGGCCACUGCUCAAUGUAGGAUGAACCUACAGGGUCUGACAUGUCUUGAGUGAAGUCCCCCACCUCUUGUACGAAACUGUUCCAAUGACAAUUGGGCACUUUUAAGAGCGUGUUUCUGCAUAGUUUAAGCACAGAUUCUAGUCUUGCCCUAUGGAACAGCACCAAGUAGUUAUGCUACAUCACAUUUUGAAGAUCCAGAAGUGUAUUUACCAUUCUGCAUUCCAAAACUGUUUUGAUUUGUUUUGGGAUAUGGUUUUUUUUAAAAAAACGUUCUUCAGUAAUAUACACAUACAGUGAAAUAUGUAUGGUGGGACCAUUUCCUCCUUGCGAUCGGAAUAAACAAUAUGCCUGGGUGGAUACAAUAUUAAUCAAUAUCUAAUUUCAUAGUUGGGCAACUGUUUUUAAUGACUAUGUGCUUUUGAUACUUUGUUGCAAACAAAGAGCUUCAGUUCAUUCCCAUAAGCACUUGUCAAGGAAAGGGCAAAUUCAUUUCCUUGUCAUCAUGUAGAAGCCAAAAGGCUCAUUAGGCUAAUUAAGAAGAGGCUCAUUGGGGCUUCUGCUCAUUCAAAAGUGGCAGAAUUUCCAUCCUUCAGGGGUCAUAAUGGGAGUCCCCCAUACUUAUCAAAAAUUGGAGACUGAAAUCGGUUAGGGAAGAAAUGCAACUUAGCAGCACACCAGAAAGCAUCCCUAACUCAGCGCAUAAUUCAUGAACAUCCACGGGCCUCACAUCACAAACCAUGUGGCCACCAAGCAUGCUUUGCAUUAUGGAUGCCCCACUCGAGUUACGUGGGAUCUUUCUCCAACGCGAUUCACAAGUAGCUCUUUUCUUCCAAAGCUUCCAGUAUCAUCUCUCGAAAACCACAUUCGGGAAGAGUUCACCUAUUUCAAGUGCUCGUCUCAGCGGGGCUCUGCCCUAUUUCAUUGGCUCUUUCCUGGUCAAGCCAGGCUAUGACAUCAAAAAGCAGUUAGGUCUGACGAGAUCCUGGAAGACAUGAUGGCCUCACCUCACCCUCUGGGGGUAUCCAAGGCCAAGAUCUGGAGCGUGCAUGGAACUGGUCUCUGCCUUCUAAGAAGGAUCGGUGGGUGGAAAGUCUCAAGUUGCCAAGCACGUGUUGCAUUCUUAGAGCUACGCUUAGCAUAUUGUUCGACUGGAAUGGAUUGAUGGCUAGACAGAUGGUUGCUUCAGUAGUGAUUGCUUUUUGGUGAGGACCGAAGCAACAAAACACCUUUCAUCGGUUCCGCAAGGACCUCAGUCAUACCUCAGUCAUACGUCCCCUCCAUUGUUACUCCUUCUGUUCAGCUACAAGAGGGUAUGGUCCUAUCACCUUCCGAUGUUCCCUGAAGGAGCUUCUACAACCUUGGAGCUGAGACUCGGAAAACUACAGCUGACAUAGAAAGAAAUGUACUGAAUGCCACUUCGAGGACACAGUCCGGAAGAUUUGGACUGAAACCAAGCCUCUGUUCUGCCAUUUGCACACAUUUACACAAUUUGCCCGCUUUUGUGUAAAUGGAGAGCCAAUUUUGCUACAUAUUGUACUGCAGAAAAGAGAAGAGAAAAGAGAGACAACAAAAUGAAGCUACAUCAAUGGAAUGGGACGGAACAAAACGAAGCAAUAAAAUAACUUUGCAGGCUGGUUUGACUCAAGGACAUUUCCAAAGAAUGGACAGAAUGGAACCUGUGGAACUGAGUUGAGAAAACCUGUUGGAUUUUCAGCUGCUAUAGUCCAGGCU